GACAGAGGGUGCAAACGUUGUUCGGAAUUACUGGGCGUAAAGCGCGUGUAGGCGGCAGGGCAUGUCGGAUGUGAAAUCCCGUGGCUCAACCACGGAAGUGCUCCCGAAACUGCCCAGCUUGAGUCUCGGAGAGGAAGGCGGAAUGCUUAGUGUAGAGGUGAAAUUCGUAGAUAUCAAGCGGAACACCGGUGGCGAAGGCGGCCUUCUGGACGAUGACUGACGCUGAGACGCGAAAGCGUGGGGAGCAAACAGG
RNAcentral lists this ribosomal RNA (253 nucleotides) under uncultured bacterium. Its description in RNAcentral is "partial 16S ribosomal RNA". It matches the Rfam family "Bacterial small subunit ribosomal RNA", at positions 524 to 776 of the family's 1533-position model. The record is from RNAcentral.